Molecule: small RNA, 18 nt
Filed under: Arabidopsis thaliana (thale cress)
Lineage: Eukaryota; Viridiplantae; Streptophyta; Magnoliopsida; Brassicales; Brassicaceae
Description: ATSL116380
Source: RNAcentral
UUUUUUUUGUGUUUUUUG